This 360-nucleotide ribosomal RNA is filed under the name oligotrophic bacterium. Its description in RNAcentral is "bacterial SSU rRNA". It matches the Rfam family "Bacterial small subunit ribosomal RNA", at positions 100 to 496 of the family's 1533-position model. The record is from RNAcentral.
GACGGGUGAGUAACACGUGGGAACGUACCCUUCGGUUCGGAAUAACUCAGGGAAACUUGAGCUAAUACCGGAUACGUCCGAGAGGAGAAAGAUUUAUCGCCGAAGGAUCGGCCCGCGUCUGAUUAGCUAGUUGGUGAGGUAACGGCUCACCAAGGCGACGAUCAGUAGCUGGUCUGAGAGGAUGAUCAGCCACAUUGGGACUGAGACACGGCCCAAACUCCUACGGGAGGCAGCAGUGGGGAAUAUUGGACAAUGGGCGCAAGCCUGAUCCAGCCAUGCCGCGUGAGUGAUGAAGGCCUUAGGGUUGUAAAGCUCUUUUACCUGGGAAGAUAAUGACGGUACCAGCAGAAUAAGCCCCGU